GAGACUGUACUUUCAGGGGUCAUUUCUGUACUUUGUUACUAGGGAAGGUCUGAACGCAUUAGCACAGGAAAGCAUCAGGAGGAGGGAGGCGCAGUGUCAUCCCCUAACCUGAAACUAACACUUGGCAUUGUUUUGUUGCAAUCGCUCUUGGCCAUUGGUGAUCACCUGACUGG
This 173-nucleotide small nucleolar RNA is filed under the name Otolemur garnettii (small-eared galago). RNAcentral describes it as "Small nucleolar RNA U3 (ENSOGAG00000023135.1)". It matches the Rfam family "Small nucleolar RNA U3", at positions 1 to 185 of the family's 219-position model. From Rfam's summary of the family: Small nucleolar RNAs (snoRNAs) are involved in the processing and modification of rRNA in the nucleolus. There are two main classes of snoRNAs: the box C/D class, and the box H/ACA class. Lineage: Eukaryota; Metazoa; Chordata; Mammalia; Primates; Galagidae. The record is from RNAcentral.